Podarcis lilfordi (Lilford's wall lizard) is the source of this 76-nucleotide non-coding RNA. The record is from the annotation of a GenBank genome assembly. Lineage: Eukaryota; Metazoa; Chordata; Lepidosauria; Squamata; Lacertidae.
ACUUCUGUGGCACAAUGGGUCAGUGUGUUUGGCUGUUAAACCAUGAAGUUGGUGGUUUGAGCCCACCCAGGCAGGA